GUUCUACACCUGCACCAUGACCUUUAACUUGGAAGGGUUCAGCGGCAGGAUCUCAGAGACCAUCAACAGCAUGGUGGACGUGGAGUAUUGCCUGGAGCCCAAAGUGGUUGAACCUGCCAAUGAGAUCAUCAAAGCAGAUUUGGGUUCUUCCUUCAGUAAGAUGUGUCGGGUGUUUGUCCCGAGUGUGGGGAAUAAAC
Molecule: long non-coding RNA, 197 nt
Organism: Oncorhynchus keta (chum salmon)
Lineage: Eukaryota; Metazoa; Chordata; Actinopteri; Salmoniformes; Salmonidae
Exons: 3
Source: RefSeq, a predicted model, not a curated record